AGUACUUAAAGCUUUUUCAAUUGUAAUAAUUGUAAGAAAACAUUUUAAAAACAUUUUGGGACAAGGAACAAACGUCAUUCUGUCACUCGCGCGAUUUAGAGGGCAAAAAAAACAUUUUUUUUUAUGUUGCGAGCUUCAAUUUCUUAGUUUUCUAGAGAGGACAUUCGUUUUUCGACCAUAACUCGACCAAUUCCUUGAGGAUCUGGAAAGGACACAUUUUAUUAAUCUCGCAGGAUUCAGGACUAUCGUCUGGUGGGUACAUGGGCAAAGACAAAAUAGUUCUAGCAGCUGUGUGGAUAUAGAGAACGGUUGCGCAUUACGAAACUCAGGUGCCUGGAGAGCAAGGGGACAGUUUUCUUGAACUUAGACUGGAAUAGUGACACACUCGGCUGCUCGCUGCGAAACAAGUUAAUUUUGGGGCAACAGUCUUACCUUAUUUUAAAGAAUCUUCAUCUGAGCGUAUUUGUUGCACGUCUUCCAAUGAUCUCCGUUAAGUUUGGUCGCUGUGAUACAAGAUGUUUUUGGGACAGCCUCUUCUUCCAACAGCA
RNAcentral lists this small RNA (548 nucleotides) under Drosophila virilis. RNAcentral describes it as "GJ25738". The record is from RNAcentral. Lineage: Eukaryota; Metazoa; Arthropoda; Insecta; Diptera; Drosophilidae.